AUUGAACGCUGGCGGCAUGCUUUACACAUGCAAGUCGAACGGCAGCGCGGGCUUCGGCCUGGCGGCGAGUGGCGAACGGGUGAGUAAUGCAUCGGAACGUGCCCAGUAGUGGGGGAUAGCCCGGCGAAAGCCGGAUUAAUACCGCAUACGACCUGAGGGUGAAAGCGGGGGACCGAAAGGCCUCGCGCGAUUGGAGCGGCCGAUGUCGGAUUAGCUAGUUGGUGGGGUAAAGGCUUACCAAGGCGACGAUCCGUAGCUGGUCUGAGAGGACGACCAGUCACACUGGGACUGAGACACGGCCCAGACUCCUACGGGAGGCAGCAGUGGGGAAUUUUGGACAAUGGGGGCAACCCUGAUCCAGCCAUGCCGCGUGCGGGAAGAAGGCCUUCGGGUUGUAAACCGCUUUUGUUCGGGAAGAACUCCUCUGGGCUAAUACCCCGGGGGGAUGACGGUACCGGAAGAAUAAGCACCGGCUAACUACGUG
Molecule: ribosomal RNA, 484 nt
Filed under: uncultured bacterium
Lineage: Bacteria
Description: partial 16S ribosomal RNA
Rfam family: Bacterial small subunit ribosomal RNA
Source: RNAcentral